GACGAACGCUGGCGGCGUGCUUAACGCAUGCAAGUCGAACGGAAAGGCCCUGCUUUUGUGGGGUGCUCGAGUGGCGAACGGGUGAGUAACACGUGAGUAGCCUGCCCUUGACUUUGGGAUAACUUCAGGAAACUGGGGCUAAUACCGGAUAGGAGCUCCUGCUGCAUGGUGGGGGUUGGAAAGUUUCGGCGGUUGGGGAUGGACUCGCGGCUUAUCAGCUUGUUGGUGGGGUAGUGGCUUACCAAGGCUUUGACGGGUAGCCGGCCUGAGAGGGUGACCGGCCACAUGGGGACUGAGAUACGGCCCAGACGCCUACGGGAGGCAGCAGUGGGGAAUAUUGCACAAUGGGCGGAAGCCUGAUGAAGCAACGCCGCGUGCGGGAUGACGGCCUUCGGGUUGUAAACCGCUUUCGCCUGUGACGAAGCGUGAGUGACGGUAAUGGGUAAAGAAGCACCGGCUAACUACGUG
This 468-nucleotide ribosomal RNA is filed under the name uncultured bacterium. RNAcentral's name for it is "partial 16S ribosomal RNA". It matches the Rfam family "Bacterial small subunit ribosomal RNA", at positions 28 to 507 of the family's 1533-position model. The record is from RNAcentral.